This 253-nucleotide ribosomal RNA is filed under the name uncultured bacterium. RNAcentral describes it as "partial 16S ribosomal RNA". It matches the Rfam family "Bacterial small subunit ribosomal RNA", at positions 524 to 776 of the family's 1533-position model. The record is from RNAcentral.
UACAUGGGGUGCAAACGUUGCUCGGAAUUAUUGGGCGUAAAGCGCACGUAGGCGGUCCGUUAAGUCAGAUGUGAAAGCCCCCGGCUCAACCGGGGAAGUGCAUCUGAAACUGGCGGGCUAGAGUACGAAAGAGGGUCGCGGAAUUCCCGGUGUAGAGGUGAAAUUCGUAGAUAUCGGGAGGAACACCGGUGGCGAAGGCGGGUCACUGGCCCGAUACUGACGCUGAGGCACGAAAGCGUGGGGAGCAAACAGG